Stylophora pistillata is the source of this 596-nucleotide long non-coding RNA. NCBI's taxonomy places the organism in Eukaryota, Metazoa, Cnidaria, Anthozoa, Scleractinia, Pocilloporidae. The record is from RefSeq and is a predicted model, not a curated record.
AGGCAUUCGUGCAUGCGUCGUUUUGGCUCCGUUGUUGGGUGUCACGUGGCUCAUUGGCUUUCUUUUGCCACUACACAUCUCCUUCUCCUACAUUUUUGUAAUCCUUAACUCUACUCAGGGACUCUCCAUUUUCUUUUUCCACUGCUUGAGAAACAGUGAGAUAAAAGAGCGUUUCAAACGAAAAUUCCAAAGAGUCCUCCCAAGUGCAUUGAACCAUAGGCAAGCUGACAACACAAAGAACUCUCAGACCCGUCAGAGUCACGCUAACGCUGGGAUUUCUCAGGAGGAUCGAGAGUAGACUUUGAACUUAUAUCUUCCCCUUGAAUUGGGAAAAUACUGUAUGCAUUUAUAACCACUUUCACUUAUCUUGCUUAAGCUGUAGCUUAAGAGCUCUAUCGCAAAUUUAUUUAUGCUUAACCACGGAUUUAGGUCAUAUGAUCAAGUAGCAUAAUUUCUUAGAAUCAAAUUGUCAGAGAAGACCGGUUUAAAAUAUAUCCCGAUGAGUCAUUUAAUCUGUAAUUAGUCAGUUUCCGUUUGAAUCAAUCUUGGUGCAACUGAUAUUGAUAGUAAGAAAGAAAUUUGUGGUACACUUCAAA